RNAcentral lists this ribosomal RNA (492 nucleotides) under uncultured bacterium. Its description in RNAcentral is "partial 16S ribosomal RNA". It matches the Rfam family "Bacterial small subunit ribosomal RNA", at positions 29 to 507 of the family's 1533-position model. The record is from RNAcentral.
AGUGAACGCUGGCGGUAGGCCUAACACAUGCAAGUCGAACGGCAGCACAGUAAGAGCUUGCUCUUACGGGUGGCGAGUGUCGGACUGGUGAGGAAUACAUCGGAAUCUACUUUUUCGUGGGGGAUAACGUAGGGAAACUUACGCUAAUACCGCAUACGACCUACGGGUGAAAGCAGGGGAUCUUCGGACCUUGCGCGAUUGAAUGAGCCGAUGUCGGAUUAGCUAGUUGGCGGGGUAAAGGCCCACCAAGGCGACGAUCCGUAGCUGGUCUGAGAGGAUGAUCAGCCACACUGGAACUGAGACACGGUCCAGACUCCUACGGGAGGCAGCAGUGGGGAAUAUUGGACAAUGGGCGCAAGCCUGAUCCAGCCAUACCGCGUGGGUGAAGAAGGCCUUCGGGUUGUAAAGCCAUUUUGUUGGGAAAGAAAAGCAGCAGGUUAAUACCCCGCUGUUCUGACGGUACCAAAAGAAUAAGCACCGGCUAACUUCGUG